GUGCUCGCUUCGGCAGCACACACACUAAAACUGGAACGGUACAGAGAUUAGCACGGCCCUGCGCAGGGAUGACACGCACAUUCGUGAAGCGUUCCACACUAAA
RNAcentral lists this small nuclear RNA (103 nucleotides) under Myotis davidii. Lineage: Eukaryota; Metazoa; Chordata; Mammalia; Chiroptera; Vespertilionidae. The record is from RNAcentral.